GAGUUUGAUUAUGGCUCAGAUUGAACGCUGGCGGCAGGCUUAACACAUGCAAGUCGAACGGUAGCAGGAGAAAGCUUGCUUUCUUGCUGACGAGUGGCGGACGGGUGAGUAAUGCUUGGGAAUCUGGCUUAUGGAGGGGGAUAACUACGGGAAACUGUAGCUAAUACCGCGUAAUAUCUUCGGAUUAAAGAAUGGGACUUUUAGCCAUUCGCCAUAAGAUGAGCCCAAGUGGGAUUAGGUAGUUGGUGGGGUAAAGGCCUACCAAGCCGACGAUCUCUAGCUGGUCUGAGAGGAUGACCAGCCACACUGGAACUGAGACACGGUCCAGACUCCUACGGGAGGCAGCAGUGGGGAAUAUUGCGCAAUGGGGGCAACCCUGACGCAGCCAUGCCGCGUGAAUGAAGAAGGCCUUCGGGUUGUAAAGUUCUUUCGGUGGUGAGGAAGGCUUAAGUGCUAAUAGUACUUAAGAUGACGUAGCC
RNAcentral lists this ribosomal RNA (479 nucleotides) under Pasteurellaceae bacterium canine oral taxon 271. RNAcentral describes it as "bacterial SSU rRNA". It matches the Rfam family "Bacterial small subunit ribosomal RNA", at positions 9 to 480 of the family's 1533-position model. The record is from RNAcentral. Lineage: Bacteria; Pseudomonadati; Pseudomonadota; Gammaproteobacteria; Pasteurellales; Pasteurellaceae.